RNAcentral lists this signal recognition particle RNA (86 nucleotides) under Limosilactobacillus equigenerosi DSM 18793 = JCM 14505. Its description in RNAcentral is "Lactobacillus equigenerosi DSM 18793 = JCM 14505 Bacterial small signal recognition particle RNA". It matches the Rfam family "Bacterial small signal recognition particle RNA". Rfam says of the family: The signal recognition particle (SRP) is a universally conserved ribonucleoprotein involved in the co-translational targeting of proteins to membranes. Lineage: Bacteria; Bacillati; Bacillota; Bacilli; Lactobacillales; Lactobacillaceae. The record is from Rfam by way of RNAcentral.
GCCACAGGACAAGGUGUGCUUACGAACCGUGUCAGGUCCGGAAGGAAGCAGCACUAAGUAAGAUGUCAUUUGUGUUCUGUGUUACG